RNAcentral lists this ribosomal RNA (498 nucleotides) under uncultured bacterium. Its description in RNAcentral is "partial 16S ribosomal RNA". It matches the Rfam family "Bacterial small subunit ribosomal RNA", at positions 28 to 507 of the family's 1533-position model. The record is from RNAcentral.
GACGAACGCUGGCGGCGUGCCUAAUGCAUGCAAGUCGAGCGGACGAAUCGAAAGCUUGCUUUUGAUUCGUUAGCGGCGGACGGGUGAGUAACACGUGGGCAACCUGCCCUGUAGACGGGGAUAACACCGAGAAAUCGGUGCUAAUACCGGAUAACACGAAAUGUCGCAUGACGUUUCGUUGAAAGACGGCGCAAGCUGUCGCUACAGGAUGGGCCCGCGGCGCAUUAGCUAGUUGGUGAGGUAACGGCUCACCAAGGCGACGAUGCGUAGCCGACCUGAGAGGGUGAUCGGCCACACUGGGACUGAGACACGGCCCAGACUCCUACGGGAGGCAGCAGUAGGGAAUCUUCCGCAAUGGACGAAAGUCUGACGGAGCAACGCCGCGUGAGCGAAGAAGGCCUUCGGGUCGUAAAGCUCUGUUGUUAGGGAAGAACAAGUAACGCAGUAACUGGCGUUACCGUGACGGUACCUAACGAGAAAGCCACGGCUAACUACGUG